Molecule: ribosomal RNA, 215 nt
Filed under: uncultured fungus
Lineage: Eukaryota; Fungi
Description: partial small subunit ribosomal RNA
Rfam family: Eukaryotic small subunit ribosomal RNA (bases 47-215)
Source: RNAcentral
GGCUUGGCUGGGCGGUCCGCUUAACGGCGUGUACUGUCUGGCUGGGUCUUACCUCUUGGUGAACUAGUGUGGCCUUUAUUGGUUGCAUUAGGGAACCAGGACUUUUACCUUGAGAAAAUUAGAGUGUUCAAAGCAGGCCUAUGUCUGAAUACAUUAGCAUGGAAUAAUAAAAUAGGACGUGCGGUUCUAUUUUGUUGGUUUCUAGAGUCGCCGUA